AUCUAUGCCGAGGGCGCGUCAGGUGAGUCGCAGUGAUCUUCUCGUUCUUUCUUUCGCGAGAUUUUAGGGUUCUUGAGGGUUUUCUUCGUUACUCGUGCCAGGAUGAAGGCGGUAGGACCUGGAGCAGGACUGGGAUUGGCUCCCGUUGUGGGUGUUGCCACUGCGAGCAAGAAGAAGCGCGAGUAUAAGCUCACGAAUCGACUCCAGGAAGGCAAGCGACCACUCUAUGCCAUCGCGUUUAAUUUCUUGGAUAUGAGAUAUCACAAUACCUUUGCUUCCGCCGGUGGAAACAGAAUUACAGUCUAUCAGUGCUUGGAAGGAGGUGCUGUGGCCGUGCUACAGGCUUAUGUCGAUGAGGAUAAAGACGAAUCGUUUUACACAGUUACUUGGGCCUGCGAUCUCAGUGGCUUGCCUUUGCUCAUUGCGAGCGGAAGCAACGGGAUUAUACGCGUUAUAGACUGCGGAAUGGAGAGAUUGUCGAAGAGCUUUGUUGGGCAUGGAGAUUCUAUCAAUGAGUUAAGGACGCAGAGUCAGAACCCGUUUUUGAUAGCGUCUGCAAGCAAGGAUGAAUCUAUACGACUUUGGAAUCUACAAACAGGUGUCUGCAUCUUAAUAUUUGGUGGAGCUGGCGGUCAUCGGAACGAAGUACUUAGUGUGGACUUCCAUCCAUCCAAUACAUUUCUUCUAGCUAGCUGUGGAAUGGACAACAGUAUAAAGAUCUGGUCGUUUAAAGAUUUUUGGAUAUAUGUGGAGCAAUCUAAAACCUGGACUGACGUAUCCUCUCGUUUUCCCACCAAAUACGUGCAAUUUCCGAUUUUUAACGCAGUUGUACACUCAAACUACGUGGAUUGUACUAGGUGGCUCGGCGACUUUGUCUUGUCCAAGAGUGUGGAUAAUGAAAUCGUUUUGUGGGAACCAAUCUUCAGAGAGCAUUCUUCCAACGACGGUGCUGUAGAUGUCAUCCAGAAGUACCCAGUGCCAGACUGGGACAUAUGGUUUAUAAAAUUCUCGUGUGACUUUUACUUCAGUACCAUGUCAAUAGGCAACAGGGAAGGCAAGGUUGUUGUUUGGGAUCUCCAAUCCAGUCCUCCGGGCUUCGUUGCAAAGCUCUCACAUUCGCAGUGCAAGUCGCCCAUAAGACAAACAGCAACUUCUGUGGAUGGAAGCACCAUCCUGUGCUGCUGUGAAGACGGCAGCAUUUGGCGCUGGGACUCUGCACCGUGACGAUCAACUCAAAAUUCCCAGCGGGAUCUUUACAAUAUAGUUCGGUACGCGUACAUAUACAAGACUUGAACUUGAGAUCAAAGGAGUGAAUUAUCUGAUUUGCAUCUGAUUUUGUUGCUAACAUCACCAAAGACUUUGUCACGAUCCAGCAAAAGCUCCAGUAUUGCAACAAGACAUACCCGCAAGCUUCAGCCUUCUUGUCUCCACUCAUCGACUACGCUGGCUUGGGCACCACGGGCAGUCCUCCAAGUCUCAUCGCCGUCCUGCGCGGGAUCAUAGACCUCCUCGAUGAUUUGCUGUUCGCAAACUUUGGGAGCACUCCAAAGGUGCCACCCGGUUUCUCAUCAUGCCUCCAGGAAGUGAUCGACAAGCUACUCCGCCUUUUAUACUCCACAACUGGAACUUACAGGAUUCUCGUCUCGUUCUUGCUCGCAAGUGUAUACCUCGUCAAAGGCAUCUUGGUUCCUUGAGGCGAGAAGAUCUUCAGAUAGUUUGAGAAACGAGCAUAAGCCAUCUCUACAUUGAUAUGAAUAAUAGUAAUAAUACUAAGAUGCAAACCAA
RNA transcript from Selaginella moellendorffii, 1785 nucleotides. It is a transcript of the gene named polycomb group protein FIE2, with no coding region annotated. The transcript has 15 exons. Lineage: Eukaryota; Viridiplantae; Streptophyta; Lycopodiopsida; Selaginellales; Selaginellaceae. The record is from RefSeq and is a predicted model, not a curated record.